UAAAUUUACUUUAUAAAGGUUUGGAGAAACAUUUCACACUAAACUGCUGUUAGGACUUUAUAUGAGGUGAAUGUUAGAGAACAAACCCACAAAUCUAAUUUAUUACAUCUAAGUGUUAAUUAUGUCUAAAGCGGGAAAGAGAUUUACUGUCAGUUUACUAAACUUCUUUCUUAAAUGACAGAAACCAAACAGGAAGUAGGGCUGACCAAUAAAUCAAUAACAAUACAUAUAUCAAUAGACAUACGAUCAAUAUCAAUUAAUAUGUCUGAUAGAAUAUUUCACAGAACUCUGAUCCAGAACUGCACAGCAUUCUGGGAGAUGUAGGCAGAGGAAAAGCUUUAGCUGCUCAACCUCUCAGCAAUAGCUAAGCUAGCAGGUAGCAUCAACUCACUCUGGAGAACCCUAACCCUUUCAACACAUCACCUUGUUCCUGGAAGGUCACCUGAUCUCCAGGUGAGCCUGUUCACCUGUAGGCUGAGGACAGGAAGUAAACAAUGGAGGCUCCGCCUUCAGGAAGUUCCUGAUCCUUGAGUCUCCCUGUGAGUCAGCGCUCAGCUGGAAGCCGCCCUGCAGGAUGUUUUCAGGUUGAGUCGGAUCAGAACCAGUGGGAGGAGUGAGACCUCCUCUUUUGGAGGAUCUUUGAUGGUCUCUGUCUGCAGGUAUCUGAUUGGCUCUCCCGUCGGUCCAGUCCAAUCCCCUUUAUGUUCCUCAGGGAGGUUCUGACCAGAGCAGCGACCCGUUAAAACCGGUCCAACAGCAGAACCGCCGCCGCCCGAUCACACCUACAGCUGACUCACCCGAGUCACGUGAGCGGACCUGAACCCGACCUGCUUCCAGUUCUGCUGGGUGGAACCACAGGAAGCAGGAAGCAGGAAACAGGAAGUAGCUCUGAGAAGCAGGAAAUAAAAACAAGAGUCUUCCUGGUUCUGCUAAAACAAACCAACCCUGCGACCCGGUCCAGCUGUAAUUAACACCCAGACUGACCAGAACCGCUCCGACAGAUCAGAACCAGUUCUCCGGCUUCCCGAGGUUCUUCUCGUCACAACCAGAACCAGAAUAUUUCAGAUGAAGGUUUGUUUAUUUAGAUGAAUAUUCGGGGAAAAGUGUGGCAGUAAAACCAGGAAGACACGGGCCUCAGCAGAACCUCCAGCAGAACCUCCUGACCCGUGUUCGCUGAAGCCUCAUCAGAACCUGCUCAGUAAUGGAACAGAACCAGGCCUUCAGCAGGUCCAACAGAACCUCAGAACCAGAUCGUGAGACCAUCCACUCUGACCAGAACCUGUCAGGUUCCAACAUAUGAACGUUCCCAUGGCAACGCUGGGAGAAGAUGCACUGCAGGACUAUCUAACCAUAGCUAAGGGUCCGUAGCUGGUUUCCAUGGCUACGGGUUAGUAGUCCUUAGCUGGUUUCCAUGGCCAGCUAAGGUUGUUAACUAGUUUCCUGCUGGGUAACCUGGGCUGCCUCACCAGGAAUCAUUCAACGAGUUUCACUGUAAAGCGUGGGCCCAACACACACCUGGCCUCACACAGGAAAUGAACACCUGGCCUCCAGCUUCAGGCUUCCAGCUUAUGGAGGCUCAGGCUGUGGAGACAGCGCCACCUGGUGGUGCCACCUGUUACAAACACACAAAGGAAAAGAAUUUCUACUUAUUAAUUUAAACUUUGAUUGAAAAAAGUUGUGCUUUUAGAUAUAAAUCUAAGUUUUUCAUUCCAAUCAAGCUGGAGUCUGAAAACAUUCCAACCUGUUUGUGUUUUCAUGUGGAGUCUAAACGAUGUCCAUGGGGCUGCACAGUGGUGCAGUAGGUAGCACUGCUACCUUGCAGCAAGAAUGGGUUCGAUUCCCGGCCCGGGGUCUUUCUGCACGGAGUCUGCAUGUUGUCCCUGCAUGGAUUCUGGGAAAUGUCCUGUUAAAGUAACGUCUUCCAGUCGCUCUGAGUGCUGCUGGACCGUCUGGGUCUCAGGCUGCAUGUUGUUUUCCUGCAGUGGAGCCAGACUUUCUGGACUGAGCCAAAACCCAACGGAGCAACGGCAACAUUUACAGCAACUUCAACCGUUUGGUGGGAUUUGAACCUGCAGCGUGACGGCGGCCUGCGGGUCACACACCGCCUGGAGGAAGUUUUCCUUCAAAACCAAGACACAAAAACAUGUUUGAAUAUAUUUACAUUAUGGGAACAGAGGAAACCUUUUCAUGGUCAACAUCAUAUUUUAACCUCAUGUAAAUAAAAUAAGCUGAUCAGACAAGCAGAGAGCAUUUAGAGGAAGAAGGACAUGAAGCCGGUUUCGAUGUGCAAAAUAAAAUCAAGUAAAUUGAACAAACU
Xiphophorus maculatus (southern platyfish) is the source of this 2317-nucleotide long non-coding RNA. RefSeq lists it as uncharacterized. The transcript has 3 exons. Lineage: Eukaryota; Metazoa; Chordata; Actinopteri; Cyprinodontiformes; Poeciliidae. The record is from RefSeq and is a predicted model, not a curated record.